Molecule: long non-coding RNA, 1551 nt
Organism: Anser cygnoides (Swan goose)
Lineage: Eukaryota; Metazoa; Chordata; Aves; Anseriformes; Anatidae
Source: Ensembl
CUGUCCCCUUGCCCGUCCGUGUGUCCGUCCCCUUGGCCGGCUGUCCGUGCGUCCGGCCGGCCGCUCCCCCCCCCGGUCCAGGCGUCCGUCUCUUGUCAGCCUGGCCAGGUGUGUCCGGUUGUCCGGCCGCCCAUCCGAGUGCCUGCUUGUCCGUCCAUCUGUCCGUCCCGUUUUCCAUCUGGCUGGGCGAUGGGGUGUCCGUCUGUCCGGGUGUCUGUCUGUCUGGGUGCCCAGUUGCCUGUCCAUCCACCCAGGUGUCCGUCUGUCCGUCCAAGUGUCCCAUUGCCUGUCUGUCCACCCGGGUGUCCGUCUGUCCGUCCAAGUGUCCCGUUGCCUGUCUGUCCACCCGGGUGUCUGUCUGUCCAGGCAUCCAGCCGUCCAGGUGUCCAGUUGCCUGUCCAUCCACCCAGGUGUCCAUCUGUCCAUGUGUCUGUCCGUCCAGGUGUCCGGUUGCCUGUCCAUCCACCCAGGUGUCUGUCUGUCCGUGUGUCCAUUUGUCCAGGUGUCCGGUUGCCUAUCCGUCUGUGUGUCUGUCCGUGUGUCUGUCCGUCCAGGUAUCUGCUUGCCUGUCCAUCCACCGAGGUAUCCGUCUGUCCGUGUGUCCAUCCAUCCAAAUGUCCGGUUGCCUGUCCAUCCGCCCAGGUGUCUGUCUGUCUGGAUGUCUGUCCAGCCGUCUGUCCAGGUGCCCGCCCGGUCUUCCGUCUGUCCGUCCCCCUGCCUGCCCAGCUGUCCCUCUGCCCGUCCCUCUGGGGGCCCAGGUGUCCAUCUGUCCUGCCGUGCAUCCCGGGCAUCCGUCUGUCUGCCUGGGGCCUGUCCCUUGUGUGUGUCCAUCCGUCUGUCUGUCUGUCCGUCCCCCCUCCUUCCAGGUGUCUGUCCAUCCGUCUGUCUGUCCGGUUGUCCAUCCAUCCCCCCUCCUUCCGGGUGUCCAUCCGUCCAUCUGUCUGUCUGCGUGUCCCUGAGAUCCAGGGGGUGUCCACGUCCGCAAGAUGGGGAUGGACGGACGGACGGACGGACAUCAGGCCUCAACCCCAUCCCCCCGCCUCAGUUUCCCCAUCCCAAAAGGACCAAUCUCCCCCCGACCCGGGGGGUCGUCCCCUCCCCUGGGACCCCCCACCCCCCACCCCAAAUACUCUCGGGUGCUGGAAAGUCCCCAAAUCCCAACUUCCCCUUCACCGGUGGGGGGGUGCUUGUGUACGGGGGGGGGGAACGCGGGCUGGGGACAUCUGGGUCCCACUGACACCCCCUUUCCCCUCCCGCGCAGGUUGCAACGGCCGCCCACCUGCUGCUGAGCACCGGCUCGCUGGCGGUGUCCUCCAGACCCAUGUGGCGCUACGAGGAAGGCAUCAGCGGAGUCUUCCUCAGCAGCGACGUGGAGGCGACGGCCGCGGGGCUGCGGGUGGCGGCGGGGGGGCUCUAUCUCCUCUACGGCCAGUUCGCCCUUGCCUGCACGGCGGAAAAUUGCCCCCCCGGCAACGUCACCCUCCAGCUCCGCCGCGCCGGCUCAGCGCCCCCGCUGCUCUCCGUGCCGCUGGCGUUGCCCAGCGGCACUGA